This 21-nucleotide non-coding RNA is filed under the name Arabidopsis thaliana (thale cress). Lineage: Eukaryota; Viridiplantae; Streptophyta; Magnoliopsida; Brassicales; Brassicaceae. RNAcentral also lists the same sequence under 1 other name. The record is from RNAcentral.
UAGUUGGUGGAGCGAUUUGUC